UUCACGGAAGGUUUCGUUCUGGGAGCAGCUCUGGAGUGCCAACUUGAGCUUGGCCCCAGGGAACGUUUACAGACGAUGACAUUUUCUCAGAAAGAAGGAAUUUUCACUUGGGAUUGACUGAGCUUUGUAAAGCAACAUUUCACGGGGGACUCAAAUCCCGGAAAAGUGUUAUUCAUAAAAAAGGAAUAUUUUAUUUUCAGUACAGAUGGCUGGCAGUGACUGACUGUGUUUGUAUGCGUGUGUGUGUGUGUGUGUGUGUGUGUGUGUUUAAAAUACAAGAGAGUGGUGAUGACUUGGAGUCUUGAGUAACUGUUUAAGCUCCGUACUAUUUAAUGGUUCGCUUUCAAAAAGCACUUGUGCAAGAGGUGGGGAGAUGCAGUUACACUUUUUCUAAUGGUAGCUAGUUGACGCUUCUGCUUCUCACUUUGGUCAUUCUGUUCUAGCCAGAGAUCAUGGUGGAGAUGUUUCCAUUUCCCGAGUGUGUUCUUUAUUGGGCAGGUGGAAAGCAGCUGUUGGGGACCUACUGGAAAUUCUGACUCUCUGUCUUGGUGUAAAGGGCUGUUCUUUCUGUCCAUUUGACCAUAUGUGGCUGUAUGACCUUGGUUAAUUCAGUGUCAAGUUCUGGACAGAAGCACUAGCAGCCAGUGUGCAUGUCAGCUGACCUUGUGCCCCUGUCAUGGCAGCUCACCGUAUUUUGGCUCCAGGGUGAGUACAACUUGGAAAGAGCCCCCAGCUGACCUGCAGUGGGUAUGGAGUAUGGACAAGAAGGGACACAUUCCCCGGUAUUUUGUGACUACAGUAUAACUCAGCCUACCCUAACAUAAACCGCAAGGUGCUGGAUUCUUCCUGAGCAAGAGGAGUGUGCUCAAGAGGCCCAUUGGUAUUUCAUGACCUGAGGCUGAGUAAAGCAAGUCCUGUGCUGACGUGGGGAGUGAUUUCUGAUGCCUCAUGUCCUAAAACAGGAGAUGAUAGAGAAUCCGCAGGAUUAGCCACCGAGGCAUCGCACUCUCGUGUGUCAUUACAGCAGUGGUAUUGAGACAGCCCUUGGAGACAGAAAAACGGUGGGGCAAUAAUUCUCUGAAAGCAGCCGCGUGUUCCUCUUCUUCAUUCAAUUCAGAGUGCUAGAUAACAUGGUGCCUUACUGAGCAGGAGGCUCCGUCAUGAACUCUUACCCUCUACGGAGAAAUGAAAAGAUGCAGCAUCGAUGUGGCCUUUGGGAGCUCUCAUUACAGAUGUGGUUCAGUUUCUGAAUUCCUCCGAGAGAAAAGAAGACCCGAGAUUGGCAGUCGGUUCUGUCUCUUGCAUCAGCUGCAUCUAUGGGCCAUUCAUGAUGCUCUUGUGGGAUUCUUGCCAGCGAGUUUGCUGCUCUAAAGAUCUUGGCCCAGACUGAGUUCUCAGUAGGGAAAGGUUAGGAAGAGUCCUUGGAAAGGCAGCGACAACGAAUGUGCCAAGAAGAGAGAAAUCGGUCUCUUGCCAACAGCCACACUAGUCAAUGGAAACAUAAUCUAUACUUGGUCCGAAGAAUGUCUUUCUCCCACCCAUUCAUAAGAAUGAAGUCAUGUGUAGAAGUGAUCUGGUGGUCCAGAAAGAUCCAGUAAUCCUGUGGAAAGGUGAGGCUAUUCCUGCUAUAGACACAUAGCACCUACUGCCUGGAAAACCUCUUAACUGCCAUCAUCUGGUACUCCCAGUAGACUCCUGCUGUAUACCUUCUUUGUUCUAGUUGGAUAAAUGCUGAUGAUAUCUUAGGAUGAGGGACAAUGUGGUAUGGAAAGGACUUGAGUCACGAUUAUUACUGUCAUUGAUGGUUUUAUUUUCAAAUGACAAUAUAUGCCAGGUAUGUUCACAUAUAUACUCUUUGCCAGGUAUGUUCACAUAUGUACUCUUAAUAAAAGAUAAAUGCUAAAAACCAUGACUCAUUUAUGCUUUCACCACCUUUAAUGACCAGGAAUACUUCUUCGCAUUUCAUAGAUGUUUUGUCCAUGUUUGAAAAAUAAAUGCAUGCUGCUGUCUGCUCCUCCCCUGCGGGACUGUGUGGCCAGCACUGUGGUCCCAGGCCUUGACAUUGUAUUCUGAGGGGUGAGCCAACGGUCAGCGUGGGGAAAGGUGGUCCUGUCUGCACGGUGCUAACUUGGUGCCCUCUGCACAGAGCCAGCAGGUCACUAAUGGCUGAGAGGAAAGACCAUAGCCUGCCCCAGCACCCUGCCCGUCAGCAGGCAUGUACCCUACAUUUUCCAACUAUCUCCCCUUCAGUAUUUAAGCUAGUAAAAAUGUUCUGUACUGGUCACCUGCUUAUAUGUAACCCCAUCUGAAGAUAGAGUUUCAUCAGAAUGGGACUUCAGUUCACUGAGCAAGUAUUUAUUGGGUCACUGCUAUGUGUGGGGCACUGUUCUAGGUACUGGGGAUACAGCCGUGAUGAAAACCCCCUCAACAUCAUGCCUUCACAGUGUGUGUGUGUGUGUGUGUGUGUGUGUGCGUGCGUGUGUGUGCGUGUGUGUGCACGCACGCAUGACGGGGCAGGAGUCAGGAGGCAGACAGCCCGGGAAGUGUUCUCCUUAUCUUUUGCUGCACAACCGGCUGCCCUUAGACUCAGCGACUAAAAAGCAUAGCAACCAUUUCUCUUGCUCAGGAAUCAGCAGUUUGGGUGGGGAUCCUUGGGGGAGGCUCAUACGGGCUUCAGAGGGCAUCUUGCCACUUCUUGCCAAGGCCGCAGCAGGCCCAUGGGCAGUGGAAACCAGAGUCCCUUGUUGGAAGGACAGUGAAAAGGGCUGUUCAAAUACUAAAAUACAGAACAUUUUUCCCCUUAUUUCUGGGGACUCUUUCUGAACAUGCCAUGGUGUUUUUGAUUUGCUUUGUAAUGAUGAGUUCCCUUGGACUUGGGGAUACGUAUUGAAUGGGGCAAACCCCCUCACCCGCCCCCAGGGGCCCUGCCUUGCCGCUCAGCACGUGCCGCCCACCAGCUUCCAGCCUCAUGUCCCAGCCAGGGUUAGGGGGAUGUCAAGGCAGGCUUUUUCUCUUCCCUUGGGUCCACCACCCCAACC
Long non-coding RNA from Lutra lutra (Eurasian river otter), 3038 nucleotides. RefSeq lists it as uncharacterized. The transcript is spliced from 3 exons. The record is from RefSeq and is a predicted model, not a curated record. Lineage: Eukaryota; Metazoa; Chordata; Mammalia; Carnivora; Mustelidae.